GCCUGGUGUGGUGGCGCAUGCCUGUAAUCCCAACAGCUCAGGAGGCUGAGACAGGAGGAUCCCAAGUUCAAAGCCAGCCUCGGCAAAAAAAAAGCAAAGCACUAAGCUACUCAGUGAGACUCUGUCUCUA
RNAcentral lists this small RNA (130 nucleotides) under Marmota monax (woodchuck). Lineage: Eukaryota; Metazoa; Chordata; Mammalia; Rodentia; Sciuridae. The record is from RNAcentral.